GAAGUGUGGACGCCAGUCUGCAUGGAGCCGACCUUGAAAUACCACCCUUUAAUGUUUGAUGUUCUAACGUUGACCCCUAAUCGGGGUUGCGGACAGUGUCUGGUGGGUAGUUUGACUGGGGCGGUCUCCUCCUAAAGAGUAACGGAGGAGCACGAAGGUUGGCUAAUCCUGGUCGGACAUCAGGAGGUUAGUGCAAUGGCAUAAGCCAGCUUGACUGCGAGCGUGACGGCGCGAGCAGGUGCGAAAGCAGGUCAUAGUGAUCCGGUGGUUCUGAAUGGAAGGGCCAUCGCUCAACGGAUAAAAGGUACUCCGGGGAUAACAGGCUGAUACCGCCCAAGAGUUCAUAUCGACGGCGGUGUUUGGCACCUCGAUGUCGGCUCAUCACAUCCUGGGGCUGAAGUAGGUCCCAAGGGUAUGGCUGUUCGCCAUUUAAAGUGGUACGCGAGCUGGGUUUAGAACGUCGUGAGACAGUUCGGUCCCUAUCUGCCGUGGGCGCUGGAGAACUGAGGGGGGCUGCUCCUAGUACGAGAGGACCGGAGUGGACGCAUCACUGGUGUUCGGGUUGUCAUGCCAAUGGCACUGCCCGGUAGCUAAAUGCGGAAGAGAUAAGUGCUGAAAGCAUCUAAGCACGAAACUUGCC
This 640-nucleotide ribosomal RNA is filed under the name Escherichia coli. Its description in RNAcentral is "partial 23S ribosomal RNA". It matches the Rfam family "Bacterial large subunit ribosomal RNA", at positions 2159 to 2798 of the family's 2925-position model. Lineage: Bacteria; Pseudomonadati; Pseudomonadota; Gammaproteobacteria; Enterobacterales; Enterobacteriaceae. The record is from RNAcentral.